Small nucleolar RNA from Sorex araneus (European shrew), 104 nucleotides. RefSeq annotates it as small nucleolar RNA U13. NCBI's taxonomy places the organism in Eukaryota, Metazoa, Chordata, Mammalia, Eulipotyphla, Soricidae. The transcript has a single exon. The record is from RefSeq and is a predicted model, not a curated record.
AUCCCUCUCUGGUUCCUAAGCAUGGCCAUCAGGUAUCCACACGUCCGGGUGACAUGUGCCUCCCCGAGAUCCUGUUAUGCACUCGGCACACUACACAUGUGACG